RNAcentral lists this ribosomal RNA (585 nucleotides) under Aquabacterium sp. StTD660. RNAcentral describes it as "bacterial SSU rRNA". It matches the Rfam family "Bacterial small subunit ribosomal RNA", at positions 102 to 683 of the family's 1533-position model. Lineage: Bacteria; Pseudomonadati; Pseudomonadota; Betaproteobacteria; Burkholderiales; Sphaerotilaceae. The record is from RNAcentral.
ACGGGUGAGUAAUAUAUCGGAACGUGCCCAGUAGUGGGGGAUAGCCCGGCGAAAGCCGGAUUAAUACCGCAUACGACCUACGGGUGAAAGCGGGGGAUCGCAAGACCUCGCGCUAUUGGAGCGGCCGAUAUCAGAUUAGGUAGUUGGUGGGGUAAAAGCCUACCAAGCCGACGAUCUGUAGCUGGUCUGAGAGGACGACCAGCCACACUGGGACUGAGACACGGCCCAGACUCCUACGGGAGGCAGCAGUGGGGAAUUUUGGACAAUGGGCGCAAGCCUGAUCCAGCCAUGCCGCGUGCGGGAAGAAGGCCUUCGGGUUGUAAACCGCUUUUGUCAGGGAAGAAAUCCUCUGAGUUAAUACCUCGGGGGGAUGACGGUACCUGAAGAAUAAGCACCGGCUAACUACGUGCCAGCAGCCGCGGUAAUACGUAGGGUGCAAGCGUUAAUCGGAAUUACUGGGCGUAAAGCGUGCGCAGGCGGUUGUGCAAGACAGGUGUGAAAUCCCCGGGCUUAACCUGGGAACUGCACUUGUGACUGCACAGCUGGAGUGCGGCAGAGGGGGAUGGAAUUCCGCGUGUAGCAGUG